UUGGGUAAAGCUAUAUUCACUUACUGAUAAAUUGGUAAAUAACUUUUUUUCUGUAAUUUCUUUAUUUCAGAUGCUUUUAGGUUAAUACGAGAAGACUGUAUUGACAGACUGUAAUUUACAAGUAAUAAUGUGAAAAAUUCAAGAAGAUAUAGAGACAUCAAAGUUGACAAAUGGGAAUAAGGCAGAGUACCUGGACUCUGAAAUCUCAGCUUUAGAAAUCUCUUAUCCUUGCCCACCUUGUGGAAACACUGUCAUUUUCUGAUAUCAGGAAGAUCUGGCAGAUGGUCUUAGUCCACUCCUGUGCCAAGAAC
This 311-nucleotide long non-coding RNA is filed under the name Sus scrofa (pig). Its description in RNAcentral is "lncRNA (ENSSSCG00055029097.1)". Lineage: Eukaryota; Metazoa; Chordata; Mammalia; Artiodactyla; Suidae. The record is from RNAcentral.